RNAcentral lists this ribosomal RNA (492 nucleotides) under uncultured bacterium. Its description in RNAcentral is "partial 16S ribosomal RNA". It matches the Rfam family "Bacterial small subunit ribosomal RNA", at positions 29 to 507 of the family's 1533-position model. The record is from RNAcentral.
AGUGAACGCUGGCGGUAGGCCUAACACAUGCAAGUCGAACGGCAGCACAGUAAGAGCUUGCUCUUACGGGUGGCGAGUGGCGGACGGGUGAGGAAUACAUCGGAAUCUACUUUUUCGUGGGGGAUAACGUAGGGAAACUUACGCUAAUACCGCAUACGACCUACGGGUGAAAGCAGGGGAUCUUCGGACCUUGCGCGAUUGAAUGAGCCGAUGUCGGAUUAGCUAGUUGGCGGGGUAAAGGCCCACCAAGGCGACGAUCCGUAGCUGGCCUGAGAGGAUGAUCGGCCACACUGGAACUGAGACACGGUCCAGCCUCCUACGGGAGGCAGCAGUGGGGAAUAUUGGACAAUGGGCGCAAGCCUGAUCCAGCCAUACCGCGUGAGUGAAGAAGGCCUUCGGUUUGUAAAGCCCUUUUGUUGGGAAAGAAAAGCAGCAGGUUAAUACCCCGCUGUUCUGACGGUACCCAAAGAAUAAGCACCGGCUAACUUCGUG